Molecule: ribosomal RNA, 100 nt
Filed under: Acidobacteriota bacterium
Lineage: Bacteria; Pseudomonadati; Acidobacteriota
Description: partial 16S ribosomal RNA
Rfam family: Bacterial small subunit ribosomal RNA
Source: RNAcentral
UUUAACGAGAGUUUGAUCCUGGCUCAGAAUCAACGCUGGCGGCGUGCCUCAGACAUGCAAGUCGAACGAUUAAACUUUCCUUCGGGAAAGAUAUAAAGUG